UACGGAGGGUCCAAGCGUUAUCCGGAUUUAUUGGGUUUAAAGGGUGCGUAGGCGGCUUAUUAAGUCAGUGGUGAAAGCCUGCAGCUUAACUGCAGAACUGCCAUUGAUACUGAUGAGCUUGAAUAUACUUGAGGUUGGCGGAAUGUGUCAUGUAGCGGUGAAAUGCGUAGAUAUUGGGAGGAACACCAGUGGCGAAGGCGGCUCACUGGACUGGUACUGACGCUGAGGAGCGGAAGCGUGGGGAGCGAACAGG
Molecule: ribosomal RNA, 253 nt
Filed under: uncultured bacterium
Lineage: Bacteria
Description: partial 16S ribosomal RNA
Rfam family: Bacterial small subunit ribosomal RNA
Source: RNAcentral